AUGAGGUGCCACAAGGCACGGAGGAACAAGAAGGGGAAAGGUGUUGCGCCUGUCGUUCCGGAACGAAAGAGAGGUAUCAUUCUCAAGACUGAGUGCCCUGUCCGGUGUAAGCUAAACGUAGAUGGAUCAUAGUGGGUGGUCAAUGAAUAUUUUGACGAGCACAACCACCAACUCAUAAAGAAGUUCGACCUGGUAAAAUUUCUAACCGCCCACAGAGGGUUCACCCCCGUCGAAAGGCAAUUCGUAAAGCUGCUACAUGAUUGUAACGUCGGUCCAUUAAGAAUGGUACAGAUACUAUCUCUCAUCCACAGCAAAAAGGGGACUCUGAGUAGCAUGCCGUACAUACCAGCUGACGUCACAAACCUACAAGCCAAGUACCAUAGAGAGAGCAAGUUGGCAGACAUAGAGGCCACAAUGGCCUACUUCGAUGAAAAAACGAAGGAAGAUCCAGAUUUCUUCUACGGGAUAAGGUUGGACGAUGAGGACCGUGUCAGGAACAUGUAUUGGGUGGAUGGUGCUGCAAGGAGAGCCUACAAACAUUUCCGAGAUUGCAUUUCAUUCGACGCGACGUACCUCACCAAUAUGUACAAGAUGCCAUGCGCUCCGUUCAUAGGAAUAAAUAACCACAACACGGAUGGGUACGUUUGGUUGUUCAAGACCUUCUUGGAGUGCAUGGAUGAACUUGCUCCGAUGAACAUAAUAACAGACCAAGAUUUCAGCAUGCGUGCAGGCAUAGAGGAGGUCUUUCUAUUGGCAGUGGACAGGCACUACAGGUGGCACAUUAUAAAGAAGGCUGAGGAGACGCUAGGACCGUUCUUUGCUACUAUGCAGCGCAGCAAGGGGUUCAAUGCUGUUUUGAAGCGACGGGACGGCAUUGUGUGCUGUCACAUACUAAAAGUAAUGGACAUGAACGUUGUGACACGGAUGCCCCGCCAUUUCAUAAGGCGGCGAUGGACUUGGGACGCUGACGACGCGUUGGCGCCGCACACAACACACGCAGUUCUGGCUGUGCAUGACGAGAGACCUGAGUCAACCAUGGAAGCCGUGAGGCACGUUGUGCUGACAAAGAACUAUGCUGAGCUAAUUGAUGAAGCGUGCAAGAGUGAUGAGACAGCGAGAGUCGCAGAAAAACACAGGAAGGCACUGAAAAGAGAGCUUGAUGAGAUCAAGAAGAGGAAAGCUGAGGAAGCCUUACACCGGUUCCCCCGCACAUCAAGUGUGCCUUCAUCCACGGGGCCAUCAUCUGAAAACUCAGAGAUAGGAUCUGGAACAGCAAGCACACAGACCCAGGUCAGGAACCCACCCUGUUCUAUCACAAAGGGUCGUCCGAGAGAGAUAAGGUACAAGUCGGGAUUGGAGAUCCAAGCAAAACACAAGAAAACGAAGAAAGGGGCGGGCAAUCCAUGA
RNAcentral lists this ribosomal RNA (1407 nucleotides) under Triticum aestivum (bread wheat). Its description in RNAcentral is "partial small subunit ribosomal RNA". The record is from RNAcentral. Lineage: Eukaryota; Viridiplantae; Streptophyta; Magnoliopsida; Poales; Poaceae.